AGCUCCAAGAGCGUAUAUUAAAGUUGUUGCAGUUAAAAAGCUCGUAGUUGGAUUUCUGGUAUAACGCGCCUGGCCCGCAUUUUUGUGAGUGCCGGUGCGCGUUUACCAUCCUUCUAGAAAACGUUUCUACCUGGGUAACUGGGCCGGAUUCGCGAUCUAGAUCUUUUACUUUGAAAAAAUUAGAGUGUUCAAAGCAGGCUUUUGCUGUGAAUACAUUAGCAUGGAAUAAUGAUCUAGGACUUCGGUUCUAUUUUGUUGGUUUCUAGUACUGAAGUAAUGAUUGAUAGGGAUAGUUGGGGGUGCUAGUAUUGGCCGGCCAGAGGUGAAAUUCUUGGAUUCGGUCAAGACUAACUUAUGCGAAAGCAUUCACCAAGGAUGUCUUCUUUA
This 387-nucleotide ribosomal RNA is filed under the name Cryothecomonas sp. Its description in RNAcentral is "partial small subunit ribosomal RNA". It matches the Rfam family "Eukaryotic small subunit ribosomal RNA", at positions 587 to 975 of the family's 1831-position model. Lineage: Eukaryota; Cercozoa; Thecofilosea; Cryomonadida; Protaspidae. The record is from RNAcentral.